GACGAACGCUGGCGGCGUGCUUAACACAUGCAGGUCGAACGGAAAGGCCCUGCUUUUGUGGGGUGCUCGAGUGGCGAACGGGUGAGUAACACGUGAGUAACCUGCCCUUGACUUUGGGAUAACUUCAGGAAACUGGGGCUAAUACCGGAUAGGAGCUCCUGCUGCAUGGUGGGGGUUGGAAAGUUUCGGCGGUUGGGGAUGGACUCGCGGCUUAUCAGCUUGUUGGUGGGGUAGUGGCUUACCAAGGCUUUGACGGGUAGCCGGCCUGAGAGGGUGACCGGCCACAUUGGGACUGAGAUACGGCCCAGACUCCUACGGGAGGCAGCAGUGGGGAAUAUUGCACAAUGGGCGGAAGCCUGAUGCAGCAACGCCGCAUGCGGGAUGACGGCCUUCGGGUUGUAAACCGCUUUCGCCUGUGACGAAGCGUGAGUGACGGUAAUGGGUAAAGAAGCACCGGCUAACUACGUG
RNAcentral lists this ribosomal RNA (468 nucleotides) under uncultured bacterium. RNAcentral's name for it is "partial 16S ribosomal RNA". It matches the Rfam family "Bacterial small subunit ribosomal RNA", at positions 28 to 507 of the family's 1533-position model. The record is from RNAcentral.